UACGAUCUGAUAAAAUAGAUAAAUAAUAAAUCUUUAUUUUACAUAGUGAUAUUUGAGUGGUUGCAAAGUCUCUCCCGCCAAACGCUAAUGCUUAGGUAUAUAACACUCCACACUAACUACCACUACAUUUAAUGUUCUAAGCACACAACUCCCAACUCUCAUGUUGAUUUUUGUAGGAGGCUCACAUCUUGGUCAUCUUGUGUGAUGUCUGUAGAUGUUAUAAUUUUUUCAUUUUAGCAAUUUAUAUUAUAUUAUCGAAGCGCUUCAUUUGUCAGUGGAACAAUAGACACUACUGACAAAAAAUAUCAUUGGUAGAAUUUCCAAAAAAAAAUCACAUGAUUAGAUAGUAGGUUGGAUUUUUUUUACUGAUACAACAGUGGAAAUGAGCUUACUGGGAACCCUGUGGUACAUUUGGGAAUGAAAAAAAUAUUAGGGUCAGCAAAAGUCUUCAAGAAAAUUAGAAUCGGUUGYGUAACAGGAAACACACUUAUUUGUUUUGUUUGGCCUUAUAUAGACAAACAAUAUGGCAGAUUUUACGAAAAGUAUGUAAUUUCAGACCCAAGAAUUAAUAUCAUUAUACAUGUGGAUCUGCAUACUACUUUGAGAAUGUGAUGACGAAAUUUAUCGUCAAUAAGAGGACAGACACAUAAAAAACUGAUGUCUAUUUGUUUUUUACAAUAACAAAAACGAUAAAAACUUCUCAUUUUUAGCGAUCAAAACUACCAACAGAAAGAGCACAUGCUCGUUGAUGUCAGCUUUAUUUGUCUGUCCUCUUAUUGAUGAUAAAAAAUAACCAAUCAGCAUGCGAGAAAUUUGUAAGUUAUCAUAAAAAGUAAGUUAGAGACCACAGUGACAAGAAAAUAUCAAGUCACAGAAAUUGCAGUCAUAACAAUGAUGAAGUUAAGAAUAAUGAUGUUAAAGAUGAUAAUGAUGGAGGUGGUAAAGACCAUCUUGAUGUGUCCUAUCAUCAUAAAACCAAGAAAAAUAAAAUGCAACCACAUCAACAAAACUUCAAAGACAGAGUCUAAUAAUUAAGGGACCUUUACUGGAACACGUGAAUAUUCUGCACAAAGUCGAAGCUUACCCUACUGAGCAACUGAGAACUCGAAACUGGAGUAUUGAAAGAGAUUGGUUGGAUCACAUAAAGCAGGUGUCAGAGAUUACCUCAUGUGACUUGGAGGACUGUGAGACAAAACCACCUCCAUGAAUAUGAAGCACAAGACCUUUAGACUUUGGUUUCAUUUUAGGACUAUAUUGAUUAUUGUUAGAGCCAUCCUUUGACUACAAAAUUGCAAUAAAUAUUAACAUCAUUA
Molecule: long non-coding RNA, 1313 nt
Organism: Actinia tenebrosa (Australian red waratah sea anemone)
Lineage: Eukaryota; Metazoa; Cnidaria; Anthozoa; Actiniaria; Actiniidae
Source: RefSeq, a predicted model, not a curated record